GACAGCAGCAGCCGCGGUAAUACGAAGGGUGCAAGCGUUACUCGGAAUUACUGGGCGUAAAGCGUGCGUAGGUGGUGGUUUAAGUCCGUUGUGAAAGCCCUGGGCUCAACCUGGGAAUUGCAGUGGAUACUGGGUCACUAGAGUGUGGUAGAGGAUAGUGGAAUUUCCGGUGUAGCAGUGAAAUGCGUAGAGAUCGGAAGGAACAUCUGUGGCGAAGGCGACUAUCUGGGCCAACACUGACACUGAGGCACGAAAGCGUGGGGAGCAAACAGGAUUAGAUACCCCAGUAGUCCCUGUCUCUUAUAC
RNAcentral lists this ribosomal RNA (306 nucleotides) under uncultured bacterium. RNAcentral's name for it is "partial 16S ribosomal RNA". It matches the Rfam family "Bacterial small subunit ribosomal RNA", at positions 507 to 807 of the family's 1533-position model. The record is from RNAcentral.